CCGCUUUCGUUGCCUAAUGGUUAGAGUGUCUGCCUUGGAUGCGGGAGGUCAUGGGUUCAAUCCCUGGAUAAUGUGGA
Molecule: non-coding RNA, 77 nt
Organism: Potamilus streckersoni
Lineage: Eukaryota; Metazoa; Mollusca; Bivalvia; Unionida; Unionidae
Source: the annotation of a GenBank genome assembly